UGGGGAAUUUUGGACAAUGGGGGGCAACCCUGAUCCAGCAAUGCCGCGUGCGGGAUGAAGGUCUUCGGAUUGUAAACCGCUUUUGUCAGGGACGAAAAGGAACCGGUGAACAACCGGUUUUGAUGACGGUACCUGAAGAAUAAGCACCGGCUAACUACGUGCCAGCAGCCGCGGUAAUACGCAGGGUGCAAGCGUUAAUCGGAAUUACUGGGCGUAAAGGGUGCGCAGGCGGCUGUGCAAGACAGAUGUGAAAUCCCCGGGCUUAACCUGGGAACUGCAUUUGUGACUGCACGGCUGGAGUCUGUCAGAGGAGGGUGGAAUUCCGCGUGUAGCAGUGAAAUGCGUAGAUAUGCGGAAGAACACCGAUGGCGAAGGCAGCCCUCUGGGACAUGACUGACGCUCAUGCACGAAAGCGUGGGGAGCAAACAGGAUUAGAUACCCUGGUAGU
RNAcentral lists this ribosomal RNA (448 nucleotides) under uncultured Sutterellaceae bacterium. RNAcentral's name for it is "bacterial SSU rRNA". It matches the Rfam family "Bacterial small subunit ribosomal RNA", at positions 355 to 794 of the family's 1533-position model. The record is from RNAcentral. Lineage: Bacteria; Pseudomonadati; Pseudomonadota; Betaproteobacteria; Burkholderiales; Sutterellaceae.